Molecule: long non-coding RNA, 296 nt
Filed under: Medicago truncatula (barrel medic)
Lineage: Eukaryota; Viridiplantae; Streptophyta; Magnoliopsida; Fabales; Fabaceae
Description: lncRNA gene21072
Source: RNAcentral
CGUCUUUAUUGGUAAGAAGUGUGUGGAUAAAAUAUGUUAUUUGCUUUGAAGUCUUGAUACAUCUUGGUCGCAUUCGGAUAAGAACCGAAUUUACUCUUAUGUACCCCCUCUAAAAUUGAUCUUCUUAUCUUUGCCACCGUGACCACACAUAUCUGUAGAAUAUUAUCUUGUCCAACAUUAAAUUUUGGUGUCUUCCUUUCCACAAUUAAUUGCCUCUUUUCUUGUAGAAGUUUAUAAUCAAAAUGAUGGUUCUGGAUAUUCUCAAUUAAUCCAUUAGAAAUAAUGAUCAUUCUAAU